Molecule: ribosomal RNA, 567 nt
Filed under: Cistanche phelypaea
Lineage: Eukaryota; Viridiplantae; Streptophyta; Magnoliopsida; Lamiales; Orobanchaceae
Description: eukaryotic LSU rRNA
Rfam family: 5.8S ribosomal RNA (bases 208-363)
Source: RNAcentral
UCGAAUCCUGUAGAAGCAAACCGCGAACAUGUUUAAUCACAUUGGGAUUGUGGCGGGGGUAAUCUCUCGUCGCAUCCCCCUCCUGCACGCACUCACUUUGUGGGCUAACGAACCCCGGCGCGGAAUGCGCCAAGGAUUACUAAUGAAUUGUCCACCCACUUGGCCCCGUUCGCGGUGAGUUAGGGGGAUGAAUCUCAAUGUCAAAACGACUCUCGGCAACGGAUAUCUCGGCUCUCGCAUCGAUGAAGAACGUAGCGAAAUGCGAUACUUGGUGUGAAUUGCAGAAUCCCGUGAACCAUCGAGUCUUUGAACGCAAGUUGCGCCCAAAGCCUUUUGGCCAAGGGCACGUCUGCUUGGGCGUCACGCAUCGUGUUGCCCCCUCCUCUGUCCUCGGAUAAUGGCCUCCCGUGCGUCACGACGUGCGGUUGGUCCAAAUGAGAUCCUCCGGCGACGCACGUCGCGACUAGUGGUGGUUGAACUCUCAACUCUCGUGUCGUUGUGCCGUGCGUUGUGCGGCAGGAUUAUUGCAUACCCAAUCGUGCGAUCUAUUCGCACUUUCGACCGCGA